Passer domesticus (house sparrow) is the source of this 691-nucleotide long non-coding RNA. RefSeq lists it as uncharacterized. NCBI's taxonomy places the organism in Eukaryota, Metazoa, Chordata, Aves, Passeriformes, Passeridae. The transcript has 4 exons. The record is from RefSeq and is a predicted model, not a curated record.
GCUGUUUCUCAGAGUUUGAUGGACUUGGUUUAUGGCCUUUGUUUCGUCUGCUUUGUAUUGCAUCCAGAAAAUCCCACAGCAGCAAGCUCUACAGUGUAACCUGUGUAGGCAAAAAAGCUCCUGCUCAAGCCUACUGCCAUGAAUUUUCUGGACAAAUGUGUUUAUAUACUUUCUGACGAGAGAAAUUUUUCCCUUCAAUUACACCAUUAUGAUUUAGAAGAAGGAACCAGCCAACGGAGCUUUAUUCUUGAUGGAGCCUCUGCUCACCUGGGAUAUGUUGCUGGCUGCACUUAUUCUAGAAUGUGAAUCCCAGAAAUAUUCUUGGGAAGAAUUGUCCCUUGCUUUUCUCUAUGAAGAGAAUGUGGCAGCACUGCUGAACAGGGAGCAGUGCCCAGCACAGUGGACAGUUGUGCCACCUGCCAGAGGGACCUGGAUGGGCUGGAGAAAUGGGCCAACAGAAGCCUCAUGAGGAGCAACAAAAGGAAAUGCCAAGUGCAGCCCCGGAGAGGCACAGCCCCAUGGCACAGCACGGACUGGGGGUGAUCAGCUGGAAAACAGAAUUGCAGAAAAGGACCUGGGGUUUCUGGUGAACAAGUUGAAGAUGAGCCAGCAAUGGGCUCUGGCUGCAAAGACCAACACAACAGCAUUCUGGGCUGCACUAGGAAGUAUGGUUGUGUUUGAGGGUCCCAGG